Molecule: unclassified non-coding RNA, 425 nt
Filed under: soil metagenome
Description: partial contains 5.8S ribosomal RNA, internal transcribed spacer 2, and large subunit ribosomal RNA
Rfam family: 5.8S ribosomal RNA (bases 1-120)
Source: RNAcentral
GAUGAAGAACGUAGCGAAAUGCGAUAAGUAGUGUGAAUUGCAAAAUUCCGUGAAUCAUCGAAUCUUUGAACGCACAUUGCGCCUUCUGGUAUUCCGGAAGGCAUGCCUGUUCGAGAGUCAUUAACAACCGUUUCGAUCCCUUUCUUUCAGAAAUUACAAAGAGGAAAAGGGUUUGGUUAUGGUGGAGGAGGGAAAGGGAGCGUUUAGCCUGUAAAAAAAGAGGCUGUGUUCCGCCUCCCCCCCAAAAUUGUACAGGCGGUCGUGUGCGCCCACGCAUCGAGGUGUUGUAAAAGCUGCCACGGCACUUUUCACCUGUGCAGUGCGAGAUUGGCCAGCCGGUUUAAAAACCCCUCCAAACAAUCAAAGGUUGACCUCGGAUCAGGUAGGGAUACCCGCUGAACUUAAGCAUAUCAAUAAGCGGAGGA